AACGCACAUGGCGCCUUCCAGUAUCCUGGGAGGCAUGCCUGUCCGAGCGUCGUUUCAACCCUCGAGCCCCCGUGGCCCGGCGUUGGGGAUCUGCCCAGGCAGGCCCCGAAAACCAGUGGCGGACCCGUUACAGGCCCUUCCUUUGCGUAGUAAUACUGCCUCGCAUCGGGAGCCGGCGGGCUUCCAGCCUCUAAACCCCCAGCAAGUCCGCCCCGGCGGCACCAAGGUUGACCUCGGAUCAGGUAGGAAUACCCGCUGAACUUAA
RNAcentral lists this unclassified non-coding RNA (265 nucleotides) under uncultured Plectosphaerellaceae. RNAcentral's name for it is "sequence contains ITS2". The record is from RNAcentral. Lineage: Eukaryota; Fungi; Ascomycota; Sordariomycetes; Glomerellales; Plectosphaerellaceae.